GUCCUCUCAGGGUCGCACCUGAAGAGUUUAUACUACUCUUACCAGUCUCGACUACGGGAGGGGAGAGUCAAGCAGAGGCCUAUCCAUUCCAUUCCUAGCUUGGGCAGUGGCUAGUGAGUGGAUGGCAAUCUGCUACAAGU
Molecule: small nucleolar RNA, 140 nt
Organism: Ornithorhynchus anatinus (platypus)
Lineage: Eukaryota; Metazoa; Chordata; Mammalia; Monotremata; Ornithorhynchidae
Source: RefSeq, a predicted model, not a curated record